UACGGAGGGGGCUAGCGAUACUCGGAAUCACUAGGCGUAAAGCGCAGGUAGGCGGUUUGGUAAGUCUUUUGUGAAAGCUCCCGGCUCAACUGGGAGAGGCCAAGGGAAACUACCGGACUAGAGUCUGGUAGGGGGAUCUGGAAUUCCUGGUGUAGCGGUGGAAUGCGCAGAGAUCCGGAGGAACACCAGUGGCGAAGGCGACACGCUGGGCCAUACCUGACGCUAAAGCGCGACAGCAUGGGGAGCAAACGGG
Molecule: ribosomal RNA, 253 nt
Filed under: uncultured bacterium
Lineage: Bacteria
Description: partial 16S ribosomal RNA
Rfam family: Bacterial small subunit ribosomal RNA
Source: RNAcentral